RNAcentral lists this ribosomal RNA (434 nucleotides) under uncultured Lachnospiraceae bacterium. Its description in RNAcentral is "bacterial SSU rRNA". It matches the Rfam family "Bacterial small subunit ribosomal RNA", at positions 341 to 792 of the family's 1533-position model. The record is from RNAcentral. Lineage: Bacteria; Bacillati; Bacillota; Clostridia; Lachnospirales; Lachnospiraceae.
ACGGGAGGCAGCAGUGGGGGAUAUUGCACAAUGGGGGGAACCCUGAUGCAGCGACGCCGCGUGAGCGAAGAAGUGCUUCGGCAUGUAAAGCUCUAUCAGCAGGGAAGAAAAUGACGGUACCUGACUAAGAAGCCCCGGCUAACUACGUGCCAGCAGCCGCGGUAAUACGUAGGGGGCAAGCGUUAUCCGGAUUUACUGGGUGUAAAGGGAGCGUAGACGGCAUAGCAAGUCUGAUGUGAAAACCCGCGGCUCAACUGCGGGAUUGCAUUGGAAACUGUUGAGCUCGAGUACUGGAGGGGCAGGCGGAAUUCCUGGUGUAGCGGUGGAAUGCGUAGAUAUCAGGAGGAACACCGGUGGCGAAGGCGGCCUGCUGGACAGUAACUGACGUUGAGGCUCGAAAGCGUGGGGAGCAAACAGGAUUAGAUACCCUGGUA